RNAcentral lists this ribosomal RNA (380 nucleotides) under uncultured microorganism. RNAcentral's name for it is "bacterial SSU rRNA". It matches the Rfam family "Archaeal small subunit ribosomal RNA", at positions 330 to 645 of the family's 1478-position model. The record is from RNAcentral.
GCGCAGCAGGCGCGAAUACUCCGCAAUGCCCGAAAGGGUGACGGGGGAUUCCAAGUGCCUACGCUUAGCGUAGGCUGUUCAGGUGCCUAAAAGCACCUGGAGGAAGGGCUGGGUAAGACGGGUGCCAUCUGUGGCAGCAGCCAAGAUUUGGCUUGCUACUGCAAGGCAUAAGCCGCCGCGGUAAUACCCGCAGCCCGAGUGGUAGUCGCUUUUAUUGGGCCUAAAGCGUCCGUAGCCGGUCUGGUAAAUGCCUGGGUAAAUCGUGGGGCUUAACCUCACGAAUUCCGGGUAGACUGCCAGACUUGGGACCGGUUGAGGGAGAGGGUACUCCAGGGGUAGGGUGAAAUCAGCAAGGUAAGCUGAUGUAACUUGCCUUGCAA